RNAcentral lists this long non-coding RNA (358 nucleotides) under Callithrix jacchus (white-tufted-ear marmoset). Its description in RNAcentral is "lncRNA (ENSCJAG00000068749.2)". Lineage: Eukaryota; Metazoa; Chordata; Mammalia; Primates; Cebidae. The record is from RNAcentral.
UCUCCACCUGCCUCAUCACAGGCAAACCAGUCCAGCAAUCCACCACGAGAAGAUUGUAUUCUUAUUGGCCCCUGGUCCAAAAAAGAGUGAAAUAUAUGUGAAGUCGACUUGAAUCCAUCCUACAUCUGGAGCAGUCACCCAGGUGAGUCAGGCGAGAACAGUUGAGCUAUUCUCAUAGUCAUCCACAGACCUAUGAGUGAGAAAUAGACGUUUGUUGUUUUGAGCCACUGAGUUUUGAGAUAUUUGUUACGCAGCAUUGUUAUAGCAAUGUCUAACUGAUACAAGACCUCAGCCCUAAGAGAUUCUAAUUCAGCUGGUUUGGGUUAAGGUUCAGUGUUAUGGCCUGGUUGUUUGUGUC